ACCGGUACGGGCUCUGAGAGGAGGAGCCCGGAGAUGGGCACUGAGACAAGGGCCCAGGCCCUAUGGGGCGCAGCAGGCGCGAAACCUCUGCAAUAGGCGAAAGCCUGACAGGGUUACUCUGAGUGAUUUCCGUUAAGGAGAUCUUUUGGCACCUCUAAAAAUGGUGCAGAAUAAGGGGUGGGCAAGUCUGGUGUCAGCCGCCGCGGUAAUACCAGCACCCCGAGUGGUCGGGACGUUUAUUGGGCCUAAAGCAUCCGUAGCCGGUUCUGCAAGUCUUCCGUUAAAUCCACCUGCUUAACAGAUGGGCCGCGGAAGAUACUAUAGAGCUAGGAGGCGGGAGAGGCAAGCGGUACUUGAUGGGUAGGGGUAAAAUCCGUUGAUCCACUGAAGACCACCAGUGGCGAAGGCGGCUUGCCAGAACGCGCUCGACGGUGAGGGAUGAAAGCUGGGGGAGCAAACCGGAUUAGAUACCCGGGUAGUCCCAGCUGUAAACGAUGCAGACUCGGUGAUGAAUAGGCUUCGUGCCUUUUCAGUGCCGCAGGGAAGCCGUUAAGUCUGCCGCCUGGGGAGUACGGUCGCAAGACUGAAACUUAAAGGAAUUGGCGGGGGAGCACCACAAGGGGUGAAGCCUGCGGUUCAAUUGGAUUCAA
This 650-nucleotide ribosomal RNA is filed under the name uncultured archaeon. RNAcentral describes it as "bacterial SSU rRNA". It matches the Rfam family "Archaeal small subunit ribosomal RNA", at positions 263 to 915 of the family's 1478-position model. The record is from RNAcentral.